This 1349-nucleotide ribosomal RNA is filed under the name metagenome. RNAcentral describes it as "bacterial LSU rRNA". It matches the Rfam family "Bacterial large subunit ribosomal RNA", at positions 1540 to 2925 of the family's 2925-position model. The record is from RNAcentral.
AGCCUGCUGGAAGUGACGAAGGCCGUAAAUUGUUCCUGCUUAUUGGAUUGCAGGGGCUGUGAAGGACUUCCUGGAAAUAACUCCAGCUUAUAGACCGUACCCCAAACCGACACAGGUGGGCUGGUAGAGUAUACCAAGGCGCUUGAGAGAAUGAUGUUGAAGGAACUCGGCAAAUUGCCCUCGUAACUUCGGAAGAAGAGGGCCCCAUUGAUGGGCAACCAUUGGUGGGGGGCACAGACCAGGGGGUGGCGACUGUUUAACAAAAACACAGGGCUCUGCGAAGUCUGUAAGACGACGUAUAGGGUCUGACGCCUGCCCGGUGCCGGAAGGUUAAGAGGAGGGGUGCAAGCUCUGAAUCGAAGCCCCGGUAAACGGCGGCCGUAACAAUAACGGUCCUAAGGUAGCGAAAUUCCUUGUCGGGUAAGUUCCGACCUGCACGAAUGGCGUAACGACUUCCCCGCUGUCUCCAACAUCAACUCAGCGAAAUUGAAUUCCCCGUGAAGAUGCGGGGUACCCGCGGUCAGACGGAAAGACCCCAUGCACCUUUACUAUAGCUUUGCAGUGGUAUUAGGGAAUGAAUGUGUAGGAUAGGUGGGAGCCUAUGAAGCGCCGGCGCUAGUCGGUGUGGAGGCAACGUUGAAAUACCACCCUUUUGUUCUCUGAUAUCUAACCCCCCAUGAAGCUGGGGCCGGGACCCUGCAUGGUGGGUAGUUUGACUGGGGCGGUCGCCUCCCAAAGAGUAACGGAGGCGCGCGAUGGUAGGCUCAAGCUGGUCGGAAAUCAGCUGUUGAGUGCAUUGGCAUAAGCCUGCCUGACUGCGAGACUGACAAGUCGAGCAGAGACGAAAGUCGGUCAUAGUGAUCCGGUGGUUCCACGUGACGGGCCAUCGCUCAACGGAUAAAAGGUACGCUGGGGAUAACAGGCUGAUCUCCCCCAAGAGUCCAUAUCGACGGGGAGGUUUGGCACCUCGAUGUCUCUCAUCACAUCCUGGGGCUGGAGCAGGUCCCAAGGGUAUGGCUGUUCGCCAUUUAAAGUGGUACGUGAGCUGGGUUCAGAACGUCGUGAGACAGUUCGGUCCCUAUCUGCCGUGGGUGUUGGAGUAUUGAGAGGAUUUGCCCCUAGUACGAGAGGACCGGGGUGAACGCACCUCUGGUGUACCGGUUGUCGCGCCAGCGGCAUCGCCGGGUAGCUAUGUGCGGACGGGAUAACCGCUGAAAGCAUCUAAGCGGGAAACCCACCUCAAAACUAGUACUCCCUAUGAGAGCCGUGAGAGACCAUCACGUUGAUAGGCCAGAUGUGGAAGCGCAGUAAUGCGUGUAGCUAACUGGUACUAAUUGCUCCAUUGGCCA